GUGCACGCUGGCGGUAGGCCUAACCCAUGCAAGUCGAACGGCAGCACAGUAAGAGCUUGCUCUUACGGGUGGCGAGUGGCGGACGGGUGAGGAAUACAUCGGAAUCUACUUUUUCGUGGGGGAUAACGUAGGGAAACUUACGCUAAUACCGCAUACGACCUACGGGUGAAAGCAGGGGAUCUUCGGACCUUGCGCGAUUGAAUGAGCCGAUGUCGGAUUAGCUAGUUGGCGGGGUAAAGGCCCACCAAGGCGACGAUCCGUAGCUGGUCUGAGAGGAUGAUCAGCCACACUGGAACUGAGACACGGUCCAGACUCCUACGGGAGGCAGCAGUGGGGAAUAUUGGACAAUGGGCGCAAGCCUGAUCCAGCCAUACCGCGUGGGUGAAGAAGGCCUUCGGGUUGUAAAGCCCUUUUGUUGGGAAAGAAAAGCAGCAGGCUAAUACCCCGCUGUUCUGACGGUACCCAAAGAAUAAGCACCGGCUAACUUCGUG
RNAcentral lists this ribosomal RNA (491 nucleotides) under uncultured bacterium. RNAcentral's name for it is "partial 16S ribosomal RNA". It matches the Rfam family "Bacterial small subunit ribosomal RNA", at positions 29 to 507 of the family's 1533-position model. The record is from RNAcentral.